Molecule: ribosomal RNA, 1401 nt
Filed under: bacterium NLAE-zl-G303
Lineage: Bacteria
Description: 16S ribosomal RNA
Rfam family: Bacterial small subunit ribosomal RNA
Source: RNAcentral
AGUCGAGGGGCAGCAUUUCAGUUUGCUUGCAAACUGGAGAUGGCGACCGGCGCACGGGCUGAGUAACACGCUAUCCAACCUGCCGAUAACUCGGGGAUAGCCUUUCGAAAGAAAGAUUAAUACCCGAUGGUAUAAUCANACCGCAUGGUCUUGUUAUUAAAGAAUUUCGGUUAUCGAUGGGGAUGCGUUCCAUUAGGCAGUUGGUGAGGUAACGGCUCACCAAACCUUCGAUGGAUAGGGGUUCUGAGAGGAAGGUCCCCCACAUUGGAACUGAGACACGGUCCAAACUCAUACGGGAGGCAGCAGUGAGGAAUAUUGGUCAAUGGGCGCAGGCCUGAACCAGCCAAGUAGCGUGAAGGAUGACUGCCCUAUGGGUUGUAAACUUCUUUUAUAUGGGAAUAAAGUUUUCCACGUGUGGAAUUUUGUAUGUACCAUAUGAAUAAGGAUCGGCUAACUUCCGUGCCAGCAGCCGCGGUAAUACGGAGGAUCCGAGCGUUAUCCGGAUUUAUUGGGUUUAAAGGGAGCGUAGGUGGACAGUUAAGUCAGUUGUGAAAGUUUGCGGCUCAACCGUAAAAUUGCAGUUGAUACUGGCUGUCUUGAGUACAGUAGAGGUGGGCGGAAUUCGUGGUGUAGCGGUGAAAUGCUUAGAUAUCACGAAGAACUCCGAUUGCGAAGGCAGCUCACUGGACUGCAACUGACACUGAUGCUCGAAAGUGUGGGUAUCAAACAGGAUUAGAUACCCUGGUAGUCCACACAGUAAACGAUGAAUACUCGCUGUUUGCGAUAUACAGUAAGCGGCCAAGCGAAAGCAUUAAGUAUUCCACCUGGGGAGUACGCCGGCAACGGUGAAACUCAAAGGAAUUGACGGGGGCCCGCACAAGCGGAGGAACAUGUGGUUUAAUUCGAUGAUACGCGAGGAACCUUACCCGGGCUUAAAUUGCAUUUUGAAUAUAUUGGAAACAGUAUAGCCGUAAGGCAAAUGUGAAGGUGCUGCAUGGUUGUCGUCAGCUCGUGCCGGGAGGUGUCGGCUUAAGUGCCAUAACGAGCCCAACCCUUAUCUUUAGUUACUAACAGGUCAUGCUGAGGACUCUAGAGAGACUGCCGUCGUAAGAUGUGAGGAAGGUGGGGAUGACGUCAAAUCAGCACGGCCCUUACGUCCGGGGCUACACACGUGUUACAAUGGGGGGUACAGAAGGCAGCUACCUGGUGACAGGAUGCUAAUCCCAAAAGCCUCUCUCAGUUCGGAUCGAAGUCUGCAACCCGACUUCGUGAAGCUGGAUUCGCUAGUAAUCGCGCAUCAGCCAUGGCGCGGUGAAUACGUUCCCGGGCCUUGUACACACCGCCCGUCAAGCCAUGAAAGCCGGGGGUACCUGAAGUACGUAACCGCAAGGAGCUCCUAGG